RNAcentral lists this ribosomal RNA (54 nucleotides) under uncultured bacterium. RNAcentral describes it as "partial 16S ribosomal RNA". The record is from RNAcentral.
CUAACGUACGGUACCGACAAGGAGCCGCCUAGGGUAAAACUGGUGACUGGGGCU